UACGUAGGUGGCAAGCGUUAUCCGGACUUAUUGGGCGUAAAGAGAACGCAGGCGGUCUUUUAAGUCUGAUGUGAAAGCCUUCGGCUUAACCGGAGUAGUGCAUUGGAAACUGGGAGACUUGAGUGCAGAAGAGGAGAGUGGAACUCCAUGUGUAGCGGUGAAAUGCGUAGAUAUAUGGAAGAACAUCAGUGGCGAAAGCGGCUCUCUGGUCUGUAACUGACGCUGAGGUUCGAAAGCGUGGGUAGCAAACAGG
Molecule: ribosomal RNA, 253 nt
Filed under: uncultured bacterium
Lineage: Bacteria
Description: partial 16S ribosomal RNA
Rfam family: Bacterial small subunit ribosomal RNA
Source: RNAcentral